This 253-nucleotide ribosomal RNA is filed under the name uncultured bacterium. RNAcentral's name for it is "partial 16S ribosomal RNA". It matches the Rfam family "Bacterial small subunit ribosomal RNA", at positions 524 to 776 of the family's 1533-position model. The record is from RNAcentral.
UACGUAGGGUGCAAGCGUUAUCCGGAAUGAUUGGGCGUAAAGCGUCCGCAGGUGGCUAUGUAAGUCUGCUGUUAAAGAGUGAGGCUCAACCUCAUAAGAGCAGUGGAAACUACAUGGCUAGAGUGCGUUCGGGGCAGAGGGAAUUCCUGGUGUAGCGGUGAAAUGCGUAGAUAUCAGGAAGAACACCGGUGGCGAAAGCGCUCUGCUAGGCCGCAACUGACACUGAGGGACGAAAGCUAGGGGAGCGAAUGGG